ACAUACGACCAUAGAAAACGGAAAGUUGGGCAUCCCGUCCGCUCUGCCAUACACAAGCCGUUUAUCGGUGGAUUAGUAGUUGGGUGGGUGACCACCAGCGAAUACCUACUGUUGUAUGUC
This is a ribosomal RNA of Phialocephala subalpina, 120 nucleotides long. NCBI's taxonomy places the organism in Eukaryota, Fungi, Ascomycota, Leotiomycetes, Helotiales, Mollisiaceae. The record is from Rfam.